AGAGUUUGAUCCUGGCUCAGGACGAACGCUGGCGGCGUGCUUAACACAUGCAAGUCGAGCGGAAAGGCCACUUCGGUGGUACUCGAGCGGCGAACGGGUGAGUAACACGUGAGUAAUCUGCCCUUGGCUUUGGGAUAGCCACCGGAAACGGUGAUUAAUACCGGAUAUGACCACUUCACGCAUGUGAUGGUGGUGGAAAGUUUUUCGGCCAGGGAUGUGCUCGCGGCCUAUCAGCUUGAUGGUGAGGUAAUGGCUCACCAUGGCUUCGACGGGUAGCCGGCCUGAGAGGGUGACCGGUCACACUGGGACUGAGACACGGCCCAGACUCCUACGGGAGGCAGCAGUGGGGAAUAUUGGACAAUGGGCGGAAGCCUGAUCCAGCAACGCCGCGUGAGGGAUGACGGCCUUCGGGUUGUAAACCUCUUUCGCCUGUGACGAAGCGCAAGUGACGGUAACAGGUAAAGAAGCACCGGCCAACUACGUG
This 484-nucleotide ribosomal RNA is filed under the name uncultured Nocardioides sp. Its description in RNAcentral is "bacterial SSU rRNA". It matches the Rfam family "Bacterial small subunit ribosomal RNA", at positions 8 to 507 of the family's 1533-position model. The record is from RNAcentral. Lineage: Bacteria; Bacillati; Actinomycetota; Actinomycetes; Propionibacteriales; Nocardioidaceae.